This 72-nucleotide transfer RNA is filed under the name Oreochromis niloticus (Nile tilapia). RNAcentral's name for it is "tRNA-Cys (GCA) (tRNA-Cys-GCA-19-1)". It matches the Rfam family "tRNA". From Rfam's summary of the family: Transfer RNA (tRNA) molecules are approximately 80 nucleotides in length. Their secondary structure includes four short double-helical elements and three loops (D, anti-codon, and T loops). RNAcentral also lists the same sequence under 1 other name. The record is from Rfam by way of RNAcentral. Lineage: Eukaryota; Metazoa; Chordata; Actinopteri; Cichliformes; Cichlidae.
GGGGGUAUAGCUCAGUGGUAGAGCAAUUGACUGCAGAUCAAAAGGUCCCCAGUUCAAAUCUGGGUGCUCCCU